This 59-nucleotide ribosomal RNA is filed under the name Colletotrichum gloeosporioides. Its description in RNAcentral is "partial 28S ribosomal RNA". Lineage: Eukaryota; Fungi; Ascomycota; Sordariomycetes; Glomerellales; Glomerellaceae. The record is from RNAcentral.
GGACCUCGGAUCAGGUAGGAUUCCCCCCUGAACUUAAGCAUAUCAUUAAGCCGAAGAAA